This is a long non-coding RNA of Dicentrarchus labrax (European seabass), 184 nucleotides long. RefSeq lists it as uncharacterized. NCBI's taxonomy places the organism in Eukaryota, Metazoa, Chordata, Actinopteri, Moronidae. The record is from RefSeq and is a predicted model, not a curated record. The transcript is spliced from 3 exons.
CACUGGAGGUAAACACACACACACUGGAGGUAAACACACACACACUGGAGGUAAACACACACACACUGGAGGUAAACACACACACACUGGAGGUAAACACACACACACUGGAGGUAAACACACACACACUGGAGGUAAACACACACACACUGGAGGUAAACACACACACACUAUACACACUGGA